RNAcentral lists this unclassified non-coding RNA (5444 nucleotides) under Hevea brasiliensis (rubber tree). Lineage: Eukaryota; Viridiplantae; Streptophyta; Magnoliopsida; Malpighiales; Euphorbiaceae. The record is from RNAcentral.
CUUCUCUCUCUCUCUCCCUUUUAAUCAGCCAUGGAAGUCUCAUGGGAACAAAGUGUCACAGACUCUAUCAACACCAUUUACCUACUAUUCUCAGCUUACUUGGUCUUUGUUAUGCAACUUGGCUUUGCCAUGCUAUGUGCUGGCUCAGUCAGGGCCAAGAAUGCCAUGAACAUUAUGCUCACAAAUGUUGUUGAUGCAGUUGUUGGUAGCAUCUCUUAUUAUCUCUUUGGCUUUGCUUUUGCAUUUGGGGUUGGUUCCAGUUCUUCUAAUCCCUUCAUUGGUACCACUUUCUUUGCCCUUAAAGAUAUUCCCAACACUACUUAUGACUAUAACUUUUUUCUUUUCCAAUGGGCUUUUGCUAUAGCGGUUGCUGGAAUCACCAGUGGCUCAAUAGCUGAGCGAACCCAAUUCACUGCUUACCUUGUUUUCUCGUUUUUUCUUACUGGGUUUGUCUACCCAGUUGUGGCUCACUGGGUUUGGUCGUCAAACGGUUGGUUGAGUGCUAGUUCAAGUGAGUUGUUGUUUGGGUCUGGUGCCAUUGAUUUUGCAGGCAGUGGUGUGGUUCAUAUGCUAGGUGGGAUUGCUGGGCUUUGGGGCUCCUUCAUAGAAGGCCCCCGGGUGGGUAGGUUUGACGCAUUUGGAAAGCCCAUGCCAAUGCGUGGGCAUAAUGCAACUCUAGUGGUACUUGGUACAUUCUUGUUGUGGUUUGGAUGGUUCGGCUUUAACCCUGGCUCUUUUGAUAAGAUUCUUGUAGCCUACCCUAAUACAACUGAUCAAGGUAACUGGACUGCCAUUGGCCGAACUGCAGUGACUACGACGUUGGCAGGUUCAACUGCCGGAAUUACAACCCUAUUCGGCCGGCGGUUACUAGUAGGCCAUUGGGAUGCAUUAGAUGUUUGCAAUGGAGUGCUUGGUGGGUUUGUCGCAAUCACUUCUGGCUGUGCAGUUGUUGAGCCAUGGGCAGCAAUUGUGUGUGGGUUUUGCUCUGCUUGGGUCCUAAUUGGGUUGAAUAUUCUGGCCCUGAAGUUGCAAUUUGAUGACCCAUUGGAAGCAACUCAAUUGCAUGGGGGAUGUGGUGCUUGGGGAUUGAUAUUCACAGGGUUGUUUGCUAAGGAGGAAUUUGUGAUUCAAGCAUAUGAGUCAGGUGAGAGUGGCGUGGCGAGGCCUUAUGGCCUUCUAAUGGGUGGGGGAUGGGGUCUGAUUGGAUGCCAAGUGGUUCAGGUUCUAGUGAUAGUGUUGUGGGUGAGUUUGACGAUGGGACCUCUUUUCUAUGCUCUUCACAAGCUUCGGAUAUUGAGGAUAUCAAUUGAUGAAGAAGUUGCAGGGCUUGAUAUCUCUAGCCAUGGAGGCUAUGCCUACGUUGCUCAUCCAGAAGAUGAUCAACCCCGUUUUUACGCAGACUACAUGCGACUGCAAGCUCAAAAUCAAUCAUAAGUACACGGCAUUUGUACACUUUGAUUUCAUCUCAUUAUUAUUCCUAUUCGUAAUCCGAGUUUGUUAAUAAAGAUGAAAUGCAAUCGUCAAAAUAUGAUUUUUCUUUAAAAAAAAUUAUUUACACUUUCAAGGUGCUUAUCAAAAAAGAAAAAAAUUACAAUUUCAAGGCUUGCGUUAUAUACAUACAGCUGUUGCUUGUCAUACACAAGUUCUGAGUUCCAGCAUAGAAACCCUCACCCAAAAUGAGAAUUAUAUGGAACAAUUACAUGAUCUGGAGCAAUGAGAGGCAACUUAUCCACGUACAUAAAGAGCCUCGUGCAAUUCUCUCUCGAAAUUAAGGAUAAAGAUUAAUCAACAAUAUCGGAUUUACCUGUAUAGAUCCAAAGGUCACCGGAAUUGACUCUUUUAAGACUCUCAGCAAAAGGGACACAAUUGAGACCGCUCACGCCUGUGAUAAACACCCAAUAACACAUCGUCAGCUCCAAUUCAAGGUUAUCAAGCAACAAAGAAAUCAUCAGCCAUUAGUAGAAUGUGAAAGCCAGAAACAACCAAUCCUUUAUCCAGCAAGGACACUUCUCCAUUUUCUAAAUGUGAUAGACCAGUCAACCAUACUCAUUGUCUGGCGCUGGAUAUUUGGCCUAACACUUUUAGGUUUUAAAUAAUAAAGAAUGAACACAAGUGCAUGGAGGGGCACAGCCCCUUGCAGUACAGUUUAGAUAUCCUAGAGUGAUUCUAGAUAAUUUUGUAAUUGUGAAUUUCUCCUAUUUGUACUUGUGACCAUAAAUAGAUGCUUGUAAUUUUUCUCUUCAUAGAGGAAAAAGCAAGCGGCUUUCUGUGGAUGCAGAGUCAUCAUUGAACCAUGCAUAAUUCUUUAUGUAAUGUUUUUUCUCCUUUUUUGUGAUCAUUAUUCUAAUUUGUGGGUUUGCAUGUGUGUAUUGCAUGGUCAAUUAUUCAACCCUUGUGUCCUAUUAUUUAUUGAAGAGAAAUACAAUUAAGUGCUUCUUUCUGUGAUUUGAUUAAGUGGUAUAUAAACUAUCAAAGAAAACUGUGAUCAUCUAUCACAAGGCAACGAGAUCAGGUAGCUCACUACCAGCAGGGGUCCUACUGUCUCAAUGAGUGAAACUUGAAGGUGGGAAAUAUGAACCGAGGACCCUCUCUUACAUACUUAAUUACCAUACACAAUAAAGAGACUGCUUAAACGAAAUCUAUAACCUUUAAUGAUUAACAAGAGACUAAAGGAAGAUGCAUCUCACUUUGAUUUUCUAGCAUAACAGAAAACAGACACUAAACUUACCGAUCUUGAUAGCACUUCAAACACAAUGAAUGACUGUAAUUGGGCAAUCAAACCUUGCUGUUCAUCUCGAUGCAAAUUCCGCACUCCUCUUCUCUUUCAAUGUCAAUUUCAGAGAGUUUGCGCCUCUCCAACUCAUCCUUUCUUCUAUAUCUGAUAUUAUACGCCUCUUUUUGUUUCUUAUCUUCCAAAUCAGUAAUUCCUUUUUGAAGUUGCAACAGAUAGGGAAAUAUAACAGCUUUUCAUAGAAAACCAAACUUUUUAUGCAUAAUUAAACAUAAAUUUUAACUUCAACAGACUGGACAUGUUUUCUCCAGAAAUUUGGUGGAUUUAACCACCUUUCUCCAACAGACAUGGUUGUCUUGCCAUGAGCAUAGGUCUGCACCAAUCACCACAUUGUCACACCCAACAAGAAUUUGUAAUAUGUUUACUACAAAGAGAAACGACAAAACAAUAAUAGUUGCAUAAAGUUAAGACAACAAAGAGAAAAGGAAGGGGAAAAAAGGUAAAAACUAACAAAUAAUAAUGAGGGGAAAACAUAAAACAAAAAGAAUAACAUACCACAUAAAUAAGAAUUCUAAGCAGACCAAGGGCCCUGCAAGAUGACAAUCAGACCACUGAACAAGAAAAAUAAGAAAUUGGGCUGCUGGACUGUAGGAAAGUCUCAUCUGAAGACGAGCUCCGUCAAUCUCCAUUGGAUAAUCUAGAGCACUUUGCCAACAAGAGGGUGAAAAAGGGCAAACAACAAUAAGUAAAUUUCACAACUUCUUUUUACCAUGCUGAAUGAAGCAGAUAGGUAAGCAACACCACAAACAGAAGUAAUGUUUAUACUUUAUACUAAUACAGAUCAACACAAUUAUCUAACUAAGAUGAAACAAGAGUAUCAUUCAAAUAAAACCUUAAGAACUUGUCUGAAGACUGAGAGAUCAAGUGAGGAUAUGGCCAAAAAAAAGAAUAAAAAAUAUAAUCAACAUGACAGAAGUGCGUUUCCAUAUUUAUUUUUUCAAUGUGUUAGAGGCUCUUCAAAACCACUUCAGAAUAACAGUUUCACAACGAAGGAUCAUUUCCAUACUUUUGAAAGGUAACAUCUCCAUGCUAGAUUUUAUUUCAUGACCACAAGUAAUUACAAAAAUACAGUUCAAACAACCAAACAUUUUAUCCAUUUAUCCAAAACUAAGCUGCAGGGUAAGCCUUGACAUAGUGAUUAGGUUAUUAAAUUAUGACUUGGAGGUAAAUAGUUAAAACCAUGGGAACAUUCUUUUCGUAAUGCAAUGAAAAGGCUGCCUACAUUUGACCCUCCCCAAAUCUUGAAAUAUGAGAAGCCUUAUGCAAUGGAUACCCUUUACCCAUUGCAAGCAAUUGAGGAACCAUUAUUACAAUUAUAUUGCAUUUACCAAUUCUGCAAUGCAGGAAACCUCAUGCAAUUGGAUAUGUACCCUUUAUCCGUUACCAAGCUAUUAAGGAUCAAUUAUCAGAAUUCCAUUGCAUUUACCUUUGACAUGCAUACAAGAGUGCCUAAUUGCAACAAUGAACCGGAAGAUCUCAUAACAAAGUUCAAUAUCAAUAUCCAGAAUGUUAAUUGAAUGUCAUUAAUCACCAUUUGAAUGCAUCCUGUUGGUUUCAAGAAUGGCUACUUGUCUAUAUCUCUUUGAAAGAGUUAUAACAAAGAUCCUAAAAUGGAACAAAUUUAUAAUAAGUUCAUAUCAUUUUACCUGAAACUGUAUCUAAGACUAAGAAUGUAUUAUCCAAGCAGUGCAGGGGAAGAGGAACAAAUAAAGAAACAUGCUUUACAUAAUAGAAAAACCGUUCAAAAAGAUUUACUGUAAAAAAAAUUCCCCAGAAUAAUAAUAAUAAUAAGUAAUAAUAAUUCAAUUCUCAUUAUUUCGUUUCCAGACAGGACAAAAGAUGAAACAAUGGCCCACCCAAAAUAUCAUCAUUCAAAAUCGAUUCCUUUGCAGGAUAGAAUCGCAGCAUCGCGAAUACCAUAGAAGCUAAAAUAUGUUCAACAGGGAUAUCGAAAUAGAGAGCGUUUAAGGCAACUCGAUCACCGAAUCCAAUAUAAUUCAUCAAUAAAAUUUCAAAACACCAUCAGAUUUCGAUUAAUUUGUUUUUAAUUCCUUCUUUAGUCAUCAUAAAAUAAAAUCCAAAUUCAACCGACAAACUUAACCAACACCAAAAUAAAAUAAUUCAAUCCCACAGAGAGGGAGAGAAGGAGAGAGCAUUACAGAGUAUUGGCGUGCUGGAUAUCAGCUUCGAGGGCCUUGAGAGAAUCCUUGAAAGACAACUUUCCCAUGUAUUUUCCCGGAAAGAAAAUCCCAUCAAACAAAUAGAAACCAAUGAAAUUUGAUAUUAUAGAGAAAGCAAGAGAAUGGCAUACUAGAAGGAUUAAUUGGUGUCGUUAAAACCUCUCCUAUAUAAACAAAACCACCCAGAGGAUACACCAAAGCUAAACUACCUCCACACUGUGCCAGUUUAGGAGGACAAGGACUGACCCUCCUUAAAUUACAAUUUUACCCUACUUGCUCCCGUCACCCAAUCCACAAAGUUUUUUCCUUUUAAAUUUCUUUUACUUUUUUUUAGAUUUAUCAUGAUAUUUCUAUGUAUAUCUUACGAUACUAAUUCAUUCAAAAUUCAUGAAUCAUAAAUCCCCCGCAACGCCCAAGAAGAUUUUUUCCACAACACUCUUCAUUUAUAGUAUGCCUAACUUCUUUUUUUUUUU